RNAcentral lists this ribosomal RNA (464 nucleotides) under Vreelandella stevensii. RNAcentral describes it as "partial 16S ribosomal RNA". It matches the Rfam family "Bacterial small subunit ribosomal RNA", at positions 338 to 795 of the family's 1533-position model. The record is from RNAcentral. Lineage: Bacteria; Pseudomonadati; Pseudomonadota; Gammaproteobacteria; Oceanospirillales; Halomonadaceae.
CCUACGGGGGGCAGCAGUGGGGAAUAUUGGACAAUGGGGGGAACCCUGAUCCAGCCAUGCCGCGUGUGUGAAGAAGGCCCUCGGGUUGUAAAGCACUUUCAGUGAGGAAGAACGCCUGGUGGUUAAUACCCAUCAGGAAAGACAUCACUCACAGAAGAAGCACCGGCUAACUCCGUGCCAGCAGCCGCGGUAAUACGGAGGGUGCGAGCGUUAAUCGGAAUUACUGGGCGUAAAGCGCGCGUAGGUGGCUUGAUAAGCCGGUUGUGAAAGCCCCGGGCUCAACCUGGGAACGGCAUCCGGAACUGUCAAGCUAGAGUGCAGGAGAGGAAGGUAGAAUUCCCGGUGUAGCGGUGAAAUGCGUAGAGAUCGGGAGGAAUACCAGUGGCGAAGGCGGCCUUCUGGACUGACACUGACACUGAGGUGCGAAAGCGUGGGUAGCAACAGGAUUAGAUACCCCUGUAGUC